Molecule: long non-coding RNA, 1439 nt
Filed under: Heterocephalus glaber (naked mole-rat)
Lineage: Eukaryota; Metazoa; Chordata; Mammalia; Rodentia; Bathyergidae
Description: lncRNA (ENSHGLG00000038603.1)
Source: RNAcentral
CACCCUCGUGCAGCCUCAGGUCGCGUGCUGACGGGUCUUCUGUGACGCACUCCCACACCUGCCUCCCUGGACACCCACACAGCCGCCACCCCACCCAGGCCACCGUCAUCUGCCACUGUAACCGGCGCCGGCAGCCUCGUACUGUGCUCGCCAGGAGAGGCUGCUCCCCAGCACGUGCCCAGGACAGCCCCUCCCUGGCUGGUCCCGAGGUCCCCAAGGCCCCCACUCCGGGCUGCCCGCCCCCUGCGCCCACACCUGGGUGCACACGCACGCGCACGCACACACGUGCACGCCCGCAUCGCCGGUGCUGGGCGUCUCACCCGGUCUUCACUCGCACCUCAGUAGCGCCUGGGUACUCACCUUUCUCUCCAGUAGAACCCCGCUUCCAGCUGACUCCCAGUAGAGCUGAAGCUGGAGCCGUGGGCGCUGCCAGGCCUGGGCAGGCUGCAGGGAGGCGUGCAGUGGAGACACUGGAUGUGUGCAGUCUCCACAGGCAGACAGGUGAAGCUGAGACAGGACAGCAUCGUGGACGGGGUUCCAGAGAGCACAAGGAAAGCACAAAAAGGAAGGAUGGAGGGAGGAAGGAAGGAAAAAGCACCAGGCAAGGAGAGCGCUUCCCUUGCACUCGUGAAAAUCAUUCUAGGUCUCUGUUCCUUUGGAGCCAGCAGAGGGCAGGGAGUGGUGCUGGUGAAGAGCAUGGGCUCCACAUCUGCAUCCACAUCAGCAAACCUAGACGAGGCAGGCUCAGCCCGGAGGGGCAGGGCUGCUGACUCACUUUACCCUGACUCCUGCCACAGUGCCAAAGGCCAGGAGCCAAGAGGGCAGUGACCCAAAGCAGUUUUCCUCGCCCUGGAUGGGAGAGCAAUGGGGGUCCAGGCCAGAGGGCUGUGGGAUGGGCCCAGCUUGCUCCACACCUGGCCAAGUGACAGUGGAGUCCCCAGAGGACUCUGGGCUACUCCUCCCCCCAGGGUGCUCCUCCCCCCUCCCCCCUGCAGGGCUUUCUUCCAUCUCUCACCCCUCAGGGUCUUCUUCUGAUCCAUCAUGCAGCAGGAUCCUUUUCUGAUCCCUCAUCCCAGCAAGGAAAACUUUCCUUCAAUCCUGUGCCCCAGUUCUUUGUGGUGUCCCUGGUCCCCUGUGCUCUCUUUCUUGUCGGCGCGGCCGUCCUCUCCUGUCUCUGUGACUGUGGCUAGAUGUGCACAUUGCCUCGCUGCACAGGCCUCUGUCUGGCUCCCUCCCUGUCCCUGCUCCCCACUCAUGGCCAUCAGACCCAGGGCUCUGGGACCCACACGGAGGUGAGCCUGUGAAUCCCGGCACCAUCUCUAUCAGCCUGGGGGCUGAUGGCAGGGUCCCCACCUCAGCUGGAAAUCCCCCUCAGCCUCCUGCCUGCAUCUUAAAUUGCAGCAUUUUUUAAUUAAAUGACUUUGCCCCAGGCACUUCAC